GUGCCUUGCAGUCAGGCACGGAGGAGAAAGAGUGUGUGUGUGUGUGUUUGUGUGUGUGUGUGUGUUUCAUAUGGGAUUGGUGACAUGCUGCCACAUGUUUGCUACCACACUUGGGACUGGGUUUAUAUACACGUAACGAUUAAAAACGCUCUCCAAGACGAGCAUCUAGAGUCUGUCCUCAUCUCGCCCUGAAAUCCGUUUUAAUACCUUGCUUUGGGCUUCAUCUCUUCCCUCUUCACCAUCAUAAGCUUCCAGUGCGACCGUCAUCCAAAACAUCCGAGCAGAAAGCUGCUGUCAGCUGCCAUAUUGCUCGCUGCUCCUGCCAGAAUGCUGCCCUUUGCAGAUGUAAUUUGCACUGUGUGUGGUUUGGAGCAAAUUUUUUUUUUUUUUUUGGAGAAGAUGGCUUAGGGGUGACGUGCUUUUCUUUGGACUGGCGGAGGGACAGGAGCCCUUCGUGCGGUUGCAGUGGGCGAGGAGGUUAACUGAGCCACAGCAGAGCCAAGAUGCUGCCUGGGAUAUUGACAGGUUGGAACCUGAGGGCUCCUGCAGGAUAGGAACACACUGCCAGAGGCUUGGUUACCACCACCGCCUGCCUGCCUUGGAGGGAGGGAGGAGUGUGAGCAGGAGAGAAGGAUGAAGGGAGGGUGAUUUGGAAACAGUGAGGAAAGGCUAGAAUCUGGGAUUUCUCAGACCAGAAAAUGUUAUAUGAAGGGCAUGGCUGUCAAACUCUGUUUCAGGAUUGAAAAAGGAACUUCUUACAUUAAUAAAUAAGCAAAAAACAAAAAAACAAAAGAAAGUUGCAUGUAAAUGUACCCACGUUACAUGUUUGAUGUUAAUAGGCAUCCAGCUUGUCGUCUAAGACAAUAAUAUAAAUAUAAUUAAUCAAGUUAAAACAGAUGACUCCGAUGCAGACCGCUC
Poecilia latipinna (sailfin molly) is the source of this 918-nucleotide long non-coding RNA. RefSeq lists it as uncharacterized. The record is from RefSeq and is a predicted model, not a curated record. The transcript has 2 exons. Lineage: Eukaryota; Metazoa; Chordata; Actinopteri; Cyprinodontiformes; Poeciliidae.